AGAGUUUGAUCCUGGCUCAGGAUGAACGCUAGCUACAGGCUUAACACAUGCAAGUCGAGGGGCAGCAUUUCAGUUUGCUUGCAAACUGGAGAUGGCGACCGGCGCACGGGUGAGUAACACGUAUCCAACCUGCCGAUAACUCGGGGAUAGCCUUUCGAAAGAAAGAUUAAUACCCGAUGGUAUAAUCAGACCGCAUGGUCUUGUUAUUAAAGAACUUCGGUUAUCGAUGGGGAUGCGUUCCAUUAGGCAGUUGGUGAGGUAACGGCUCACCAAACCUUCGAUGGAUAGGGGUUCUGAGAGGAAGGUCCCCCACAUUGGAACUGAGACACGGUCCAAACUCCUACGGGAGGCAGCAGUGAGGAAUAUUAGUCAAUGGGCGCAGGCCUGAACCAGCCAAGUAGCGUGAAGGAUGACUGCCCUAUGGGUUGUAAACUUCUUUUAUAUGGGAAUAAAGUUUUCCACGUGUGGAAUUUUGUAUGUACCAUAUGAAUAAGGAUCGGCUAACUCCGUGCCAGCAGCCGCGGUAAUACGGAGGAUCCGAGCGUUAUCCGGAUUUAUUGGGUUUAAAGGGAGCGUAGGUGGACAGUUAAGUCAGUUGUGAAAGUUUGCGGCUCAACCGUAAAAUUGCAGUUGAUACUGGCUGUCUUGAGUACAGUAGAGGUGGGCGGAAUUCGUGGUGUAGCGGUGAAAUGCUUAGAUAUCACGAAGAACUCCGAUUGCGAAGGCAGCUCACUGGACUGCAACUGACACUGAUGCUCGAAAGUGUGGGUAUCAAACAGGAUUAGAUACCCUGGUAGUCCACACAGUAAACGAUGAAUACUCGCUGUUUGCGAUAUACAGUAAGCGGCCAAGCGAAAGCAUUAAGUAUUCCACCUGGGGAGUACGCCGGCAACGGUGAAACUCAAAGGAAUUGACGGGGGCCCGCACAAGCGGAGGAACAUGUGGUUUAAUUCGAUGAUACGCGAGGAACCUUACCCGGGCUUAAAUUGCAUUUGAAUAUAUUGGAAACAGUAUAGCCGUAAGGCAAAUGUGAAGGUGCUGCAUGGUUGUCGUCAGCUCGUGCCGUGAGGUGUCGGCUUAAGUGCCAUAACGAGCGCAACCCUUAUCUUUAGUUACUAACAGGUCAUGCUGAGGACUCUAGAGAGACUGCCGUCGUAAGAUGUGAGGAAGGUGGGGAUGACGUCAAAUCAGCACGGCCCUUACGUCCGGGGCUACACACGUGUUACAAUGGGGGGUACAGAAGGCAGCUACCUGGUGACAGGAUGCUAAUCCCAAAAGCCUCUCUCAGUUCGGAUCGAAGUCUGCAACCCGACUUCGUGAAGCUGGAUUCGCUAGUAAUCGCGCAUCAGCCAUGGCGCGGUGAAUACGUUCCCGGGCCUUGUACACACCGCCCGUCAAGCCAUGAAAGCCGGGGGUACCUGAAGUACGUAACCGCAAGGAGCGUCCUAGGGUAAAACUGGUAAUUGGGGCUAAGUCGUAACAAGGUAGCC
RNAcentral lists this ribosomal RNA (1490 nucleotides) under uncultured bacterium. RNAcentral's name for it is "bacterial SSU rRNA". It matches the Rfam family "Bacterial small subunit ribosomal RNA". The record is from RNAcentral.